CUAACAGUUCGUUUUGUACAGUGUCCUUUUGAAGAUGGGCUGAGCAUCAUAGUGCCUCUGAAGUCUCGAAUCUCCCUCACACAGUCUCGAAAAUGCAUCUGAAUAUUCCAGGAUUCAGGGAGUCCACAGACUUGUCUUUCCCCACAGUGCGGUUUCACAUUUUCCACACAUGUUAUGAUCCGAUUCAGAACGUACCUGUUUUCCUCCACCUGUUUUCCUCCACCUGUUUGUUAUGCUGCUCAAUGGAGCGCCUGUAUGCACUGUCAACUUGGGCUGCCACAUUCACCCUUCCAAAUAGUUUGUGGCCCUUCUGAGUUGAAAAGGUUGCCUACAGUGUCCUUAGUCCCCUUGGGUAAGGAAGUCAAUGUGAGCCAACACGUUGGAGGAAACGCUCAAUCACAUUGUCUUAUCCCAAGCUAGAGAAGCCCGCCCCGCCAAAGACGUUGCUGGAACGGAGGAGCACAAGGAAAUCCCCUAUGCUGAUUAUCUCCCCCCUGCCCUUGGACGACACCAGCCCAAAUGCGCACCAUCCUAC
Long non-coding RNA from Esox lucius (northern pike), 535 nucleotides. The record is from Ensembl. Lineage: Eukaryota; Metazoa; Chordata; Actinopteri; Esociformes; Esocidae.